RNAcentral lists this unclassified non-coding RNA (196 nucleotides) under uncultured Laetisaria. RNAcentral's name for it is "sequence contains ITS1". The record is from RNAcentral. Lineage: Eukaryota; Fungi; Basidiomycota; Agaricomycetes; Corticiales; Corticiaceae.
CUGGAAAUAUUCAAGGUUGUAGCUGGCCUUCCGGGGCAUGUGCUCGCCUUGUUUCAAAUCCAUCUUACACCUGUGCACACUCUGUAGUCCUUGGGUUUCUUUUGGGGUCACACCCGGAGAGAUUCUAGUUCUACGUAUUUACACAUACACUUUAAAAGUUUAGAAUGUAUUACUUGUGAUAAAACACAUUUAAAAA